UCAAUUCCUAAAUAGUUUGGGAUCUAAUUAGGUUAUUCAAACACUAUAUAUAGGCAUAAAGGUUCUCAUUAUUUUUCAAGCCUUGUUAUGAUAAUUUUAUAAGAUCAAUAAUAUUAGGGAGAAUUAGUUCUCUUUUCAAGGAUUGAUCCUUGAUUUCUCCUUCUUCUUGGUGCUUUCUCUUUGUUCUACAUCAGUUGGCAGUAGACAACAGUCUUGAUUACAGAAAGCUAAUAGCAGAACAGAUUUUGAGCAAUCCUUAGAUCAUGGUUUGAUAGACAAAAUUACAGUAGGACUCCCAUGAUUAACUUCAUCAAACUCAGAUCUUAAAGUCACAUUUUUAAGCUUCAUCGUAAAUCAUAAUCAAGGCUUUUGACGACUAAGGCCAAAACCCAGUUUCCAACUGUCCCCAUUAUUAUUGCCCUUUUAGAAAAGAUUCAUUUAUCUCUAAGGGUAAGAUUAGAGAUCAAUAGAAUACGCCAAAUAGGC
RNAcentral lists this unclassified non-coding RNA (486 nucleotides) under Hevea brasiliensis (rubber tree). The record is from RNAcentral. Lineage: Eukaryota; Viridiplantae; Streptophyta; Magnoliopsida; Malpighiales; Euphorbiaceae.